AGGGAAUCCACUGAAGCCUCAAUGAAUCUCUACUCAAAAGAAAAUGAUCAAAGAGUCUCCAGAGAGAACCUUCGACUGGUAAUGAAGCUGCAUGGCAUCUCCAGCUCCUUGUACCUCGUGGCAAACAUCAUCAGAAAGACCAGAGCCAAAGAGACCACCUUGGUGAGAUGACCCAAAGACCAGAACCAGCCCUAGAUGAGAGGGGAAGCCCAAACCAACAACUGCAGAUUUUGAAACAUCAGCCAACCCUCAUAGACAGAGGAACAACCUAUCCCAGGCUUAUUGAACAGAACUUUUUUAAAAAAGAUACUUCUACUAAACAAAAGAUGCUGAAUCAAUGCAAUUUGGAGAUGGCAAUGGCAAGUCCACAGAGAGCCUAACAAGGAAAUGGCACUCCUGGAGGUGUGAACAACUCCUUUCUAUAUCAUCAAGAUGGAGGAUAGAUCAUUCAAGUGUAUUGUCUGGGGAAAUUAAAAAAGCUAAUCACCCCAACAAUGAAAAAUGGCUGAUGCAAGGGACAAGUCAGUCCUCCUUAUUCCUCCAAAUGUCAAAAUAGCAUGGAGUGAGGUCAUGUGAUGCAAUGUUUGACAUGAACAUUUGAAUUUGGAAUAUCAGAGAGAAGUCAGAAAUUACUGGAGUGUGCACCAUUUUGUCUGAAAUGUUUCACAAAGUUUAGAGCCCUGUUUAUAGCUUGAAAAACCAGCCAGAAAGUCUCCUUGCUGCAAACAGAGAAUUUUAAAGGAAGAUUUAACCUCGACAUCAGUCUCCAAGAGAAAUCAGUCUUUCUUGUGGAAAUUGUCGUGUUCAGUUGAAAAAUCAAAUACCUGCACAAUGAGAAAUUCUUUUUGUUUUAAAUUGAUCUUACUUCUGUUAUGCUCAAUAUUCAUUACA
Molecule: long non-coding RNA, 891 nt
Organism: Chiloscyllium plagiosum (whitespotted bambooshark)
Lineage: Eukaryota; Metazoa; Chordata; Chondrichthyes; Orectolobiformes; Hemiscylliidae
Source: RefSeq, a predicted model, not a curated record